RNAcentral lists this ribosomal RNA (321 nucleotides) under uncultured eukaryote. RNAcentral describes it as "partial 18S ribosomal RNA". It matches the Rfam family "Eukaryotic small subunit ribosomal RNA", at positions 1470 to 1797 of the family's 1831-position model. The record is from RNAcentral.
CCCUUAGAUGUUCUGGGCCGCACGCGCACUACACUGAACAGUUCAACAAGUCUUAACCUUGGCCGAUAGGUCUGGGUAAUCUUUGAACGCUGUUCGUGAUUGGGAUAGACCUUUGCAAUUAUGGGUCUUCAACGAGGAAUUCCUAGUAAACGCAAGUCAUCAGCUUGCAUUGAUUACGUCCCUGCCCUUUGUACACACCGCCCGUCGCACCUACCGAUUGAAUGGUCCGGUGAAAUCUCGGGACGGCGGCUUGGUCGCUUGCGUCCGACUGCUGAAACUUGAUUAAACCAUAUCAUUUAGAGGAAGGUGAAGUCGUAACAA